This 301-nucleotide ribosomal RNA is filed under the name uncultured bacterium. RNAcentral's name for it is "partial 16S ribosomal RNA". It matches the Rfam family "Bacterial small subunit ribosomal RNA", at positions 509 to 807 of the family's 1533-position model. The record is from RNAcentral.
CAGUAGCCACGGUAAUACGGAGGGGGCUAGCGUUGUUCGGAAUUACUGGGCGUAAAGCGCACGUAGGCGGACAUUUAAGUCAGGGGUGAAAUCCCAGAGCUCAACUCUGGAACUGCCUUUGAUACUGGGUGUCUUGAGUGUGAUAGAGGUAUGUGGAACUCCGAGUGUAGAGGUGAAAUUCGUAGAUAUUCGGAAGAACACCAGUGGCGAAGGCGACAUACUGGAUCAUUACUGACGCUGAGGCUCGAAAGCGUGGGGAGCAAACAGGAUUAGAGACCCCCGUAGUCCCUGUCUCUUAUAC